Molecule: long non-coding RNA, 635 nt
Organism: Medicago truncatula (barrel medic)
Lineage: Eukaryota; Viridiplantae; Streptophyta; Magnoliopsida; Fabales; Fabaceae
Exons: 3
Source: RefSeq, a predicted model, not a curated record
AUUCAAACCCACACCAAUAAUCACAUUCAUCGUGAAAAAGGAUUUCUCCACAAACUUUGUGAAACUUCCUCAAUCGAACAUGAUAUCCUUUCACAACCUUCAUCGAUUCAUCUCCUCCAUUCACGAUUUCUCGCCACUCCUCCGUUCACGACCUCAACCCUUCACAAACUUCGUCGUUCAUUACUCUUUUGGGCUAUUGUGCAUUCCGUCGUUGUUCACCACUCUUCUCCGGCAGCGAUGCGAUUUCUUGUGGCCACAUCUCCGGCGAUGAAACAUGUUUAUGAGACGGUAGAAGAAUGACCUUACAUAAAAAUGAUUAACAUGGCCAGUGGACUUGGUAGGCAAAUAAAAGUGAAGGAAGAUCUCAAAAAUGGAAGUGCAUCAUAAUCUGUCUGUUUGUUUGUAUAACAUCUUCUAUGGCUUGUUAUGGGGAGAAAGGUUGAGACAACAGAGAAACAGAGGAUAAGAUUGCUUGCUAAGAAGAUUUUGAUGUUUCUGUUGACUAGUUGUAACUCAAGAGAUAUUCUAUUAUUUUGUAACUUCUUAGAGAUUUAAGAUAGUAGUGAUACAUUUGUAUCUUUUAUGUUGUAACAAUUACCUACAUUUUAUGAUAUAUUAAAGUUUUAUUGGAUAAA